GAUGUCUUGUGUGUAGUAGACUGGUAGUGGUGUAUGGUGUUUUGAUGGAUCAUGGAGAUCAGGGUUCAAACCUCAGUGCUGCAAUAUUCUCUUUUUUCCUUCCUGGGAUACAUGCGACUUCCGUGCGAAAAAAAAAGCCGCAACGCUCUAGUUAUAACAAUCAAGGAACUCACCACUAUGCUAUUCAAUUCAACUUGCAAAUAAAUAGAUCAUCCUUUUAUUAUUUUGCAUAUUCCUCAGCACUGAACUACAUGGAGCUAAGCCUUUAAUCUUAACACCAAGGCCUACGGAGCUGGCAUGUUAGGCCUCAGCGCCAAGGCCCGUGGCGCUGAGGUAAAAGCCUAUUUUAUUUUAUUGUUCAUUUAUAAAAUAAGUUUUGUGAAAGGGUCAAAAUGUCAGAUUUUUGGGUUUUUUACUACCUUUGGGUGAUGUUUUCCCGAUAGAUUAAGAAAUAUGGUGAAAUUAAAUGAGAUAUGAUUGUAAUUAGUUGAGAUAAGGAAACAUGUGAAGAAAAAGCUAUUAUCUCCGUUCCAAAAUAAGUUCAUCUUUUCGCACAUCUUACAUAUACCAAUACAAAAUAAAAAAAAAAAUCUAGAAUAGUCCUACUUUAUCAAAUCUCAAUGCAACCAUUUUUUACUUUAUCUACUCAGAAUAUAAUUAUUUUUUAUUUUCACAAACUCCGAUACAGUGAUUACUUUAAAAAUAAACUUAUUGUGAAAUAAAUAAAAGGAGUUAAAAAUGAACUUAUUAUAGUAUAUUAUAGAACAAAACUCAAAUGCCAGAAGUAAUGAUCAUGUUAGAAUUAGUAGGUGAGAAGAGAGGGGGUUUGGCUGUGCCUGUCUGUGUAGACUUGAGAUUUCUUCUCGUGGGGGCUCAGCUGGGCCUCACUCAGGCUUACGAGGAUAAGGCGUGCAGAGCGGUGCAUUUGGCGGCCGAGUAAGAGUGAGGAUAAGGCAUGUAGCAUUCCAUGGAAGGGAAGGGAAGCAAAGCAUGGAUUUGCGGCGAUGAUCGACGGACGCACCAAGGCGCUCUUCAGGGUCAUCCAACUUCUCCUUGAUGGCUGGUACAAAUUUUGACAGGUGAACAUAGGCCGCACCACCUCCAGCUCCUACCUUUAUAACCGCAACUCCGCCAGAAAGCUUUGCGAUUCUCUCAGCCAACUUCUCAGAGUCAUAUGCUGAGUCUGUCUGAGAAAGCUCUCUCUUCAGCUGUGCAAUUCUUGCCUGGAUCUCAUCUUUGGUGGCAACAUCUGCUAUAAUGGUAGUGGAUGACUGGGAGAUUGUCACUUUCCGGGCUAUGCCAAGUUGCUCCACGGUUGUACUCUCCACCAGUAAACCAAGAUCUUUGGCUUGAAAUUCAGCACCUGAAACAAAAGACACCGCAUUAAAAAACAGUAAAUCAGACAGGCAAUAGAGAUAGAGCACACCACAGGAUGAAACAAGCUGUAGGCUUUUUGGAAAAAGAAAGAUAUGUUCUCAAAGUUCUAUGUUCAGGUAACUCAGUUCUGUCUCCGGACUUUACCAUACUUACUGGCUCCAACCACUUUAACUAAUACAAAAUCAGGUGGUGGCAAUUAGUAGAGUCUUUGUUAGCGCGUCACUUUUGCUAGAUGGCAAAGAAAUGCAUUAAUGUUGCCUAUAUUGCAGUAGAAUGACUUGUGUACAAAGCCAAUAAACCAGAUGAUAAAUAUUUGGAUUAUGCAAUGCAGGUUUAUGUCAUAAUUCAUGUAA
Oryza sativa Japonica Group (Japanese rice) is the source of this 1730-nucleotide non-coding RNA. The record is from RefSeq and is a predicted model, not a curated record. Lineage: Eukaryota; Viridiplantae; Streptophyta; Magnoliopsida; Poales; Poaceae.